GAUGAACGCUGGCGGCGUGCUUAACACAUGCAAGUCGAACGGAAAGGCUCCUGCUUGCAGGGGUACUCGAGUGGCGAACGGGUGAGUAACACGUGGGUGAUCUGCCCUGCACUUCGGGAUAAGCCUGGGAAACUGGGUCUAAUACCGGAUAGGACCACAUUUUGGAUGGUGUGGUGGAAAGUUUUUCGGUGUGGGAUGAGCUCGCGGCCUAUCAGCUUGUUGGUGGGGUAAUGGCCUACCAAGGCGUCGACGGGUAGCCGGCCUGAGAGGGUGUACGGCCCCAUUGGGAGAGGGGAAGGGCCCGGGCCCCAUAGGGGGGAAGGAGGGGGAAAAAUGUCAAAAGGGGCGGAAGCCGUGAGCAGGGACCGCGGGUGGGGAAGGACGGCCUUCGGGUGUGAAAAUCCUUUGGCUAGGAACGAAGCGCAAGGAAGGGAACCGGGGAAAAAAGAACCGCCAAAUUCGGG
RNAcentral lists this ribosomal RNA (464 nucleotides) under uncultured bacterium. RNAcentral describes it as "partial 16S ribosomal RNA". It matches the Rfam family "Bacterial small subunit ribosomal RNA", at positions 28 to 506 of the family's 1533-position model. The record is from RNAcentral.